UCGGAUCUGUGUGCAAACGGGUCCGUGUGCAAAUGGAUCGUGCGCAAUCGGGUCUGUGUGCAAUCGGGUCCGUGUGGAAACGGGUCCGUGUGGAAACGGGUCCGUGUGGAAACGGGUCGUGUGCAAUCGGGUCGGUGUGCAAACGGGUCCGUGUACAAUCGGGUUGGUAUGCAAUCAAGUCCGUGUGCAAUCGGGUCCGUGUCCAAUCGGGUCUGUGUCCAAUCGAGUCCGUGUCCAAUCGGGUCUGUGUCCAAUCAGGAAAUACUACCUGUCCAAUCGCUUAUGUGCGCAAACGGACCUCACCCCCCACCCACACACACACACAUAGCACACACACACGAGGGGGAAAAAGUGCAAGAGGGGUCUUCGACCCCCUCCCGCACCCACCUCGUCCAAGUUGCAACCCAUGUACGUUGGGUGCGUUUGAGAAUACAUUUAGUUGGCAUUGGGAAAAAAAGUUGGCAAUAUUGUUAAUUCCCAGUGCUGCGUUUCAUGUCUCCCAACUGACAAGAGACUAAAGCAAAUUGAAUUACUUGUAGUGCUGAAAGAGGUCCUUUUUUGCUACAUUGCUAUUGAACAAUCAAUAUAUCAUCCUAGAAGAAUGUAUUUUACUUGUUUACAUCCUCAAGUAAUGACUCUUCUACAGACAACGAUGACAAUAAUGAAGCAUUGCAAAAUAUUUUAUUCGAUAAAGAUGAAAACAAUAGAAAUGAAAGAAGAAUAGUACCAAAAAUUAAUAAUUAUAUAAAGCAUGUUGUUGUAAGAUAUACAAAUAUAGAAUUUAAAUCACA
Long non-coding RNA from Monomorium pharaonis (pharaoh ant), 791 nucleotides. RefSeq lists it as uncharacterized. The transcript is spliced from 2 exons. The record is from RefSeq and is a predicted model, not a curated record. Lineage: Eukaryota; Metazoa; Arthropoda; Insecta; Hymenoptera; Formicidae.